CCAGUGCCACUGCUGGGCUCACCUCCCACCAGGAGAGCCAGGGCCAGGCAGUGCCACUGGCUGCAGGCACAGCCUCUGAUCCUUCCAGCAGCGGCAAUUAUUUAAUGUAAUGAGAAGAAUCCAAGCACUAGAACUUUUCAGAGAGAUUAAAUGUUUUAUGACAGACCAAAAUUGUGUAAUGCAAAAGCCUGAUUUUGUGUAUAGGAAGAUACUUAGAAAUAAAAUGUGUACUGGUGCCUGGGAGGCUGAGGCAGAUGACGACUGGAGCCCUCUCCCAGCUCAACAUUCCUUCCAGCCAUCCUCCCCCAAUAUGACAUCACUUCUCACCCAUCCCACCAUCCCUAUCAGCAGGACACAGCCCUGGCAGAGGCACUGCAGGCACACAGGGAUGGUAGGACAGCUCACCAGCCAGGGUGAACCCCCCGUGCCCUCCUUAUGGACAGCCAGGGUUCAGCACAGAAACACGCAGAUUCUGGCUUUUAUUUGAGGCAGGUUGGAAAGAGCAGUGAAGGUUAUUGAAAACAUAACGAAAGCUCCUCCUUAUUUCAUUAAAUACAAAUGUGAGUGGGGUCAUCAGUUUUUAUAGGGGCUCGUAAAGCAUCCCUCUUGUUCAAAUAGGCUAUCAAAUCACCCAGGGCUCCUCUCCGGGAGGAGCGCAAUAAACCCAGAGUUUCUUCUUUAAGAAACUCAUCUCAACAUCAUAAUAAAAUAACCUUAAAUAAUACAGUAUGGAACAGGUUUUCAAUAACAUAAUUAUAGGCUUCCAUUUUUUUCCUGGCAGGUCAUUUCUUGGUAUCUAUUUUGGAUGCCACAUUGCAGAGGAAGGGGGUAGGGAUGGAAGCAUGGGUGGAUUUUGAAGCAUGUCCUCAGGUCACAGCAGAUCACCUUGCCUUUCCUUUGUGCAGUGCAGGCACCAUGAGGCCUGGGGAAGCUGGGCAGAGCUGCAGCCUGUGGGAUGGAACAGCAGAAGUGAAGAUGCUGACUUGCUGCCUUCCUCACUUGAGCAGAGCUCUGUGUGCAGUGAUUCAGGCCAGGCUCCACUCCCUGCUCUCCCCAGUGUCCUGGAGGAAUAUGCUCCGGAAUGCCUUCAGCAAGAGCCUCUAAUCUGGAAGAGUCAUUUCUCCCUCUGCCUCUCUCGCAGUACAGGAGCAAUGCAGUGGCUGCUGGCUGGAAAAUUAGCCCAGGGAACUCUCUCCUCUGUCUGUCUCUCACCUCAUUAGACUAGUGAGAAAAUGUAAUUGUAAGUCUCUCAG
Long non-coding RNA from Chiroxiphia lanceolata (lance-tailed manakin), 1253 nucleotides. RefSeq lists it as uncharacterized. The record is from RefSeq and is a predicted model, not a curated record. The transcript has 3 exons. Lineage: Eukaryota; Metazoa; Chordata; Aves; Passeriformes; Pipridae.